Molecule: ribosomal RNA, 775 nt
Filed under: uncultured Neocallimastigales
Lineage: Eukaryota; Fungi; Neocallimastigomycota; Neocallimastigomycetes; Neocallimastigales
Description: partial large subunit ribosomal RNA
Rfam family: Eukaryotic large subunit ribosomal RNA
Source: RNAcentral
AUAGAGACUCAGAGCUGCAUAUCAAUAAGCGGAGGAAAAGAAACUAACAAGGAUUCCCUUAGUAACGGCGAGUGAAGCGGGAAGAGCUCAAAUUUGAAAUCUUCAAGGUUCUACCUUGACGAAUUGUAGUUUAAAGAGGUGUUUUCUGUUAGUGGAGUGGCAAAAGUUCUUUGGAAUAGGACAUCAUAGAGGGUGAGAAUCCCGUAUUUGGUCAUUCAUUCUAGCUUUGUGAUACACUUUCAAAGAGUCGGAUUGUUUGGGAAUGCAGUCCAAAAUGGGUGGUAAAUUUCAUCUAAAGCUAAAUAUUGGCGAGAGACCGAUAGCGAACAAGUACCGUGAGGGAAAGAUGAAAAGAACUUUGAAAAGAGAGUUAAACAGUACGUGAAAUUGUCAAAAGGGAAGCGUUUGACACCAGUGUUGUUUAGUUGAAAAUCAAUUCAAUAGUUUUUGAUUUUAAGUAGUAUUUGACUUCAUCAGCUUGCUGCUUUUUUCUCUGAAAUUAUUGAAUGCACUUUUCAGUUAACAAGUCAACAUCAGUUUCUUUUGUUGUAAAAGGGUCAUUGGAAGGUGGCUUUCUCUUCGGAGAAAGUGUUUAUAGCCUUUGAUCUCUGCAAUCGGAGAGACUGAGGUCUGCAGCGUAGAUCCUUCGGGGUUAGAUACAUUUGUGCUAAGCUACAGCUUUUCAUAGACAACUUGUUGACUAUGUUUAGUCUUGUGACUUACCCGCUUAUGCUAUUUUACCUACGCUUAGGAUGUUGAAGUCAUCGUAUCGCGC